CUAGUAAGAUCCCUGAAAGAUGAUCAGGUUGAUAGGUCAGAGGUGGAAGCGUGGCGACAUGUGUAGCUGACUGAUACUAAUCGAUCGAGGACUUAACCA
RNAcentral lists this ribosomal RNA (99 nucleotides) under Priestia megaterium. RNAcentral's name for it is "partial 23S ribosomal RNA". It matches the Rfam family "Bacterial large subunit ribosomal RNA", at positions 2825 to 2925 of the family's 2925-position model. The record is from RNAcentral. Lineage: Bacteria; Bacillati; Bacillota; Bacilli; Caryophanales; Bacillaceae.